Molecule: ribosomal RNA, 657 nt
Filed under: Lambiella caeca
Lineage: Eukaryota; Fungi; Ascomycota; Lecanoromycetes; Baeomycetales; Xylographaceae
Description: partial 28S large subunit ribosomal RNA
Rfam family: Eukaryotic large subunit ribosomal RNA
Source: RNAcentral
GAGAAUCCCGNACGUGACCGGCGGNCAACCCCNUGUGAGGNUCCUUCNACNAGUCNAGUUGNUUGGGAAUGCANNUCUAAAUGGGUGGNAAAUUUCAUCUAAAGCUAAAUACCGGCCNGAGACCGAUAGCGCACAAGUAGAGUGAUCGAAAGAUGAAAAGCACUUUGAAAAGAGAGUUAAAAAGUACGUGAAAUUGUUGAAAGGGAAGCGCUUGCAACCAGACUUGCCCGCANGCGAUCUUCCGUUUUUCGGAGCCACCGCACGUGGAGCAGGCCAGUAUCGGUUUUGGCAGUCGGACAAAGUUNCUGGGAANGUAGCUCCUCUCGGGGAGUGUUAUAGCCCGGGGUGCAAUGCGAUUAGUUGGGACCGAGGACCGCGCUUCGGCUANGAUACUGGCGUAAUGGUUGUAANCGACCCGUCUUGAAACACGGACCAAGGAGUCUAACAUCUAUGCGAGUGUUUGGGUGUCNNACCCAUACGCGUAAUGNAAGUGAACGGAGGUGGGAACCUUAGGGNGCACCAUCGACCGAUCCUGAUGUCUUCNGAUGGAUUUGAGUACGAGCAUAGCUGUUGGGACCCGAANGAUGGUGAACUAUGCCUGAAUAUGNUGAAGCCAGAGGAAACUCUGGUGGAGGCUCGCACCGGUUCUGACGUGCA